CCUACGGGAGGCAGCAGUGAGGAAUAUUGGUCAAUGGGCGCAAGCCUGAACCAGCCAAGUCGCGUGAGGGAUGACGGUCCUAUGGAUUGUAAACCUCUUUUGUCGGGGAGCAAGGCCCGCCACGUGUGGCGGGCCGGAGAGUACCCGCAGAAAAAGCAUCGGCUAACUCCGUGCCAGCAGCCGCGGUAAUACGGAGGAUGCGAGCGUUAUCCGGAUUUAUUGGGUUUAAAGGGAGCGUAGGUGGAUUGUUAAGUCAGUUGUGAAAGUUUGCGGCUCAACCGUAAAAUUGCAGUUGAAACUGGCAGGCUUGAGUACAGUAGAGGUGGGCGGAAUUCGUGGUGUAGCGGUGAAAUGCUUAGAUAUCACGAAGAACUCCGAUUGCGAAGGCAGUUCACUGGACUGCAACUGACACUGAGGCUCGAAAGUGUGGGUAUCAAACAGGAUUAGAUACCCCAGUAGUC
This 461-nucleotide ribosomal RNA is filed under the name uncultured bacterium. Its description in RNAcentral is "partial 16S ribosomal RNA". It matches the Rfam family "Bacterial small subunit ribosomal RNA", at positions 338 to 795 of the family's 1533-position model. The record is from RNAcentral.